CUUUUAACAAAAUAAUGAGAUAAAUACUUUUGAUAAUUUUAAUAUGUAUAAUAAUUGACAGAACUUCAACAAAAUACUAGUCAAACAUCAUUUUAUAUCAGACAACCUUAGAUGAUAAAAUCAAUCAAACGCUCUAUAAUUCUUUUUCACAUAGUAGCACUAUUUCACGUAUUUCUUUAAUCAUUAUUAACAUACUAGUUAAGGGACCCGCGCGAUGCUGCGGGUAGUUAUUUUAAAAUUUAAUUUUGAAAAUUAGUUAUAAAAAUCAAUUUCAGAAUUAAAUGGUGUAAUAAGUACAUCAAAAAAUUUUAGUGGGCAUAGUAGUCCUUCAUUAGUUAGUAAAAUAAUUUUAGUAGGUAUCGUAGUCCCCCAGUAGUUAGUGAAUGAGAAGAGAAAUCAUGCUGCGGGUAGUUAUUUUAAAAUUUAAUUUUAAAAAUUAGUUAUAAAAUAAAUGCAGUUAUCUUUCCUAAUGUAAUAAGAAAUAAUUUUUAGUAGGCAUCGUAGUUUCCCAGUAGUUAGUGAAAUAAUUUUUAGUAGGUAUCGUAGUGCAAUAAGUAUAUUUAAUACCAAUAGUCUAAAUUAUUUAACAUUUAUUUAUAUAUUUUAUAUUUUAUAAAUAUAAAUAGUAAAUUAUAUAAUAAAUUAUUAUAUAAUAAUAUAUCUAUAUAACAAUAAAAUACUUAUAUAAUAGAUAAAUAUAUAUUUAUAAAUAAAUUUUAUAUAUAUAUAUAUAUAUAUAUAUAGAGUCCGGCUACUAUACUCUUAGGGUGCGUUUGGUUCGAGUUAUCCUGCCAGGAUUACAGGCAAUCCUGCCAGGAUAACUGUGUUUGGUUAAU
RNAcentral lists this long non-coding RNA (836 nucleotides) under Ananas comosus (pineapple). Its description in RNAcentral is "long non-coding RNA (ACOM_LNC032344)". The record is from RNAcentral. Lineage: Eukaryota; Viridiplantae; Streptophyta; Magnoliopsida; Poales; Bromeliaceae.